Molecule: ribosomal RNA, 434 nt
Filed under: uncultured Lachnospiraceae bacterium
Lineage: Bacteria; Bacillati; Bacillota; Clostridia; Lachnospirales; Lachnospiraceae
Description: partial 16S ribosomal RNA
Rfam family: Bacterial small subunit ribosomal RNA
Source: RNAcentral
ACGGAAGGCAGCAGUGGGGAAUAUUGCACAAUGGGCGAAAGCCUGAUGCAGCGACGCCGCGUGAGUGAAGAAGUAAUUCGUUAUGUAAAGCUCUAUCAGCAGGGAAGAAAAUGACGGUACCUGACUAAGAAGCACCGGCUAAAUACGUGCCAGCAGCCGCGGUAAUACGUAUGGUGCAAGCGUUAUCCGGAUUUACUGGGUGUAAAGGGAGCGUAGGCGGCAGGGCAAGUCUGAUGUGAAAACCCAGGGCUCAACCUUGGGACUGCAUUGGAAACUGUCCAGCUAGAGUGUCGGAGGGGUAAGCGGAAUUCCUAGUGUAGCGGUGAAAUGCGUAGAUAUUAGGAGGAACACCAGUGGCGAAGGCGGCUUACUGGACGACAACUGACGCUGAGGCUCGAAAGCGUGGGGAGCAAACAGGAUUAGAUACCCUGGUA